Peromyscus californicus insignis is the source of this 721-nucleotide long non-coding RNA. RefSeq lists it as uncharacterized. The transcript has 5 exons. The record is from RefSeq and is a predicted model, not a curated record. Lineage: Eukaryota; Metazoa; Chordata; Mammalia; Rodentia; Cricetidae.
CAGAGGGUACACACCGCCGGGCCGGUUCCUAGCCACGCUGGGCUCUCCCCCUACAGCUCACCCUGACCCGGAAACAGUACCCCGGAGCGGUGGCCCGGCGUGGAGGAGGUCGGGAAUACUUGCAGAUCUGAAAGGCAAGCGUUCAGCCUGAGGAAGGUGCAGAACAGUCUUGCCACCAAGACUGCCAGAAAGUCCAAUGACAGCCUUUUGGAAACUGGAGCUUUGUGAAGGUCACAGAACACCAGAAAAGGGUUUCUCUGUGUAGUUUUUGGUGCCUGUCCUGGGACUAAAGGUGUGCACCAACACCGCCCAGCAAAGUUCAUUGUUUUUCUAAGCAAGCCCAACAGGAAUUUACUUGUUGAUACCUCUGCUUAUCUCUCCAAUCUCACCUUCAGGAAGAUCCCUGGAAGAGAUGUGACUCUGCAAACUUGUCCUCCUACCUCCACAUGAGUGCAAUGACGGGCAUGUGUGCACUUAUGCAUGCACACAAAGUAAUAAAUGCUCUGCAGGGCAAGCUGCAAGUCUGAGGCUGACACGGCAGCGGGGAUGCCUGCACCACAGAGAGAGCAAAGACUCACAAACUGAGCGCUCCUCAAAGUACUGUGUAUCGAAAGUAUCACUUGUCAAUCACACACCUCUUCCACUCCGGUCAAAGAGAAAUUCAGAGCUUUUAUCUCAUGUGUAUUAAUGAGAAAUAAAAUUAAACGAGUAAUGCAUCUCA